Molecule: ribosomal RNA, 424 nt
Filed under: Acinetobacter baumannii
Lineage: Bacteria; Pseudomonadati; Pseudomonadota; Gammaproteobacteria; Moraxellales; Moraxellaceae
Description: partial 23S ribosomal RNA
Rfam family: Bacterial large subunit ribosomal RNA
Source: RNAcentral
CGAAUGCUGACGUGAGUAACGACAAAACGGGUGAAAAACCCGUUCGCCGAAAGACCAAGGGUUCCAGUCCAACGUUAAUCGGGGCUGGGUGAGUCGACCCCUAAGGCGAGGCCGAAAGGCGUAGUCGAUGGGAAAAUGGUUAAUAUUCCAUUACUUCUGUGUAAUGCGAUGAGAGGACGGAGAAGGCUAAAUCAGCCUGGCGUUGGUUGUCCAGGUGAAAGGAUGUAGGCAUGUAUCUUAGGCAAAUCCGGGGUACUCUAUGCUGAGAUCUGAUAGCAAGCUGUACUUGUACAGCGAAGUGGUUGAUGCCAUGCUUCCAGGAAAAGUCUCUAAGCUUCAGUUACACAGGAAUCGUACCCGAAACCGACACAGGUGGUCAGGUCGAGUAGACCAAGGCGCUUGAGAGAACUCUGCUGAAGGAACU